RNAcentral lists this ribosomal RNA (1209 nucleotides) under metagenome. Its description in RNAcentral is "bacterial LSU rRNA". It matches the Rfam family "Bacterial large subunit ribosomal RNA", at positions 1556 to 2801 of the family's 2925-position model. The record is from RNAcentral.
CCAAAUAGCUGAGUCGAGUCUUCGGACAAAACGUAGUGGUAAAAGUUCUUCCAAGAAAAGCGAGUAUAGCAGCCCGUACCGUAAACCGACACAGGUAGACGGGACGAAUAUUCUAAGGCGCUCGGGUGAGCCGUGGAGAAGGAACUAGGCAAAUUGACGCUGUAACUUCGGGAUAAAGCGUUCCCUCUUCGGAGGGAUUCAAUGAAAUGGUUCAACCAACUGUUUAGCAGAAACACAGGGCCCUGCAAAAUCGAAAGAUGACGUAUAGAGCCUGAUACCUGCCCGGUGCUGGAAGGUUAAGGGAGGGUGUUCGCCGCAAGGCAAAGCUCCUGACUGAAGCCCCAGUAAACGGCGGCCGUAACAAUAACGGUCCUAAGGUAGCGAAAUUCCUUGUCGGGUAAGUUCCGACCUGCACGAAUGGUCUAAUGAGUUGAACUCUGUCUCCUCCACGAGCCCGGUGAAAUUGUAGUAUCGGUGAAGAUGCCGGUUACCCGCCACGGGACGGAAAGACCCCGUGAACCUUCACUACAACUUUGCAUUGAUUUUGAAUUACGGAUGUGUAGAAUAGUUGGGACGCUUUGAAGCCUUGCCGCCAGGUAGGGUGGAGCGGUCGGUGAAAUACCAACCUUCUUUGAUUUAGAAUCUAAUCCCUUGCGGGAAACAGUGCAUGGUGGGUAGUUUGACUGGGGUGGUCGCCUCCUAAAGAGUAACGAAGGCUUGCAAAGGUUCCCUCAGUACGGUUGGUAAUCGUACGAAGAGCGCAUUAGUAUAAGGGAGCUUGACUGUGAGGCACACAAGCCGAGCAGGGACGAAAGUCGGCUAAAGUGAUCCGGCGGUUCUGUAUGGAAGGGCCGUCGCUCAAAGGAUAAAAGGUACUCCGGAUAACAGGCUGAUCUCCCCCAAGAGCUCAUAUCGACGGGGAGGUUUGGCACCUCGAUGUCGGUUCGUCACAUCCUGGGGCUGGAGAAGGUCCCAAGGGUUCGGCUUUUCGCCGAUUAAAGUGGCACGUGAACUGGGUUCAGAACGUCGCAAGACAGUUCGGUCCCUAUCUGUGGUGGGCGUCAGUAGAUUGAGAGGACAUGACCUUAGUACGAGAGGACCGGGUCGUACGUACCGCUGGUGUAUCGGUUGUGCCGCCAGGUGCAGUGCCGGGUAGCUAUGUACGGACAGGAUAAACGCUGAAAGCAUCAAAGCGUGAAACCUACCUCA